Molecule: non-coding RNA, 28 nt
Filed under: Mus musculus (house mouse)
Lineage: Eukaryota; Metazoa; Chordata; Mammalia; Rodentia; Muridae
Source: RNAcentral
UGACAGUUCUACCCUCUGCUUAAACGGC